ACGAACGCUGGCGGCGUGCUUAACACAUGCCAGUCGCACGAAGAGCGAUGGAAGCUUGCUUCUAUCAAUCUUAGUGGCGAACGGGUGAGUAACGCGUAAUCAACCUGCCCUUCAGAGGGGGACAACAGUUGGAAACGACUGCUAAUACCGCAUACGAUCUAAUCUCGGCAUCGAGGAUAGAUGAAAGGUGGCCUCUACAUGUAAGCUAUCACUGAAGGAGGGGAUUGCGUCUGAUUAGCUAGUUGGAGGGGUAACGGCCCACCAAGGCGAUGAUCAGUAGCCGGUCUGAGAGGAUGAACGGCCACAUUGGGACUGAGACACGGCCCAGACUCCUACGGGAGGCAGCAGUGGGGAAUCUUCCGCAAUGGACGAAAGUCUGACGGAGCAACGCCGCGUGAGCGAUGACGGCCUUCGGGUUGUAAAGCUCUGUUAAUCGGGACGAAAGGCCUUCUUGCGAAUAGUGAGAAGGAUUGACGGUACCGGAAUAGAAAGCCACGGCUAACUACGUG
Molecule: ribosomal RNA, 509 nt
Filed under: uncultured bacterium
Lineage: Bacteria
Description: partial 16S ribosomal RNA
Rfam family: Bacterial small subunit ribosomal RNA
Source: RNAcentral